CAGCCUUUUCCAACCAUAUUUUACAUCUCAAAUAUCUCGAAAAGGAGGUCCAAAACUUAUCAAUAUUUUUUGCUUAUCUUUAUCCUUAAUUGAUGCUCUACCAGCUUAUAGUAUCAAUUUUAAUUUCUUAAUUUCUUAAUUUUACCUAACCUCACUUAAGUACAUCCUUAUUAUCAGGGACAAUAACAUAACAGCACUACACCAUACAUGGGUAUACUUGUAACCUUAAAUGGUGAAAUGUGUAAAGAAUACAAACUGUAUGAUCAUUAUAAUCAUUGAGAAGGCAGCACAUGUAAACGGAUAAGUCUGAGCAACAUGACAACAUCAAAAACAAACAAAUAUUAAGAUUACAGUAUCUAUAUAUGCUGUCAUCAUGCACGAAACCAUGUAAACUGCAGGUGCCAUUGGGAUACAUACAUAAACAAUAAAAACGAC
RNAcentral lists this long non-coding RNA (435 nucleotides) under Mytilus galloprovincialis (Mediterranean mussel). The record is from RNAcentral. Lineage: Eukaryota; Metazoa; Mollusca; Bivalvia; Mytilida; Mytilidae.